RNAcentral lists this ribosomal RNA (245 nucleotides) under uncultured bacterium. Its description in RNAcentral is "partial 16S ribosomal RNA". It matches the Rfam family "Bacterial small subunit ribosomal RNA", at positions 524 to 769 of the family's 1533-position model. The record is from RNAcentral.
UACGAGGGGGCAAGCGUUACUCGGAAUUAUUGGGCGUAAAGGGCGCGUAGGCGGUCCUGUGCGUCGGAGGUGAAAUCCCCGGGCUUAACCCGGGUGCUGCCUCCGAUACGGCUGGACUUGAGUCCGGGAGAGGGGAGCAGAAUUCCCAGUGUAGCGGUGAAAUGCGUAGAUAUUGGGAGGAAUACCAGUGGCGAAGGCGGCUCCCUGGACCGGUACUGACGCUGAGGCGCGAAAGCGUGGGUAGC